RNAcentral lists this ribosomal RNA (747 nucleotides) under Plasmodium falciparum (malaria parasite P. falciparum). RNAcentral describes it as "partial 18S ribosomal RNA". It matches the Rfam family "Eukaryotic small subunit ribosomal RNA", at positions 635 to 1249 of the family's 1831-position model. The record is from RNAcentral. Lineage: Eukaryota; Apicomplexa; Aconoidasida; Haemosporida; Plasmodiidae.
UGAAUCCGAUGUUUCAUUUAAACUGGUUUGGGAAAACCAAAUGUAUUAUAUAUUUUGCUUUGUUCAAAAUAAGGUUUUCUAAUAAAUUAUGUUUUUAUCAGAUAUGACAGAACCUUUUUUAAAAUCUCUUCAAUAUGCUUUUAUUGCUUUUGAGAGGUUUUGUUACUUUGAGUAAAAUUAAGUGUUCAUAACAGACGGGUAGUCAUGAUUGAGUUCAUUGUGUUUGAAUACUACAGCAUGGAAUAACAAAUAUGAAUAAGCUAAUUAUUUUUUUUUUUCAUAAUUUUUUUUGAUAUUCUUAUUAGCUUAGUUACGAUUAAUAGGAGUAGCUUUGGGGGCAUUCGUAUUCAGAUGUCAGAGGUGAAAUUCUAAGAUUUUCUGGAGACGGACUACUGCGAAAGCAUUUGCCUAAUCUAUUUCCAUUAAUCAAGAACGAAAGUUAAGGGAGUGAAGACGAUCAGAUACCGUCGUAAUCUUAACCAUAAACUAUACCGACUGGGUGUUGGAUGAAUAUAAAAAAUAUAUAAAUAUGUAGCAUUUCUUAGGGAAUGUUGAUUUUAUAUUAGAAUUGCUUCCUUCAGUACCUUAUGAGAAAUCAAAGUCUUUGGGUUCUGGGGCGAGUAUUCGCGCAAGCGAGAAAGUUAAAAGAAUUGACGGAAGGGCACCACCAGGCGUGGAGCUUGCGGCUUAAUUUGACUCAACACGGGAAAACUCACUAGUUUAAGACAAGAGUAGGAUUGACAGAUA